RNAcentral lists this long non-coding RNA (761 nucleotides) under Mytilus galloprovincialis (Mediterranean mussel). Lineage: Eukaryota; Metazoa; Mollusca; Bivalvia; Mytilida; Mytilidae. The record is from RNAcentral.
UCUGAAUUACUCCUUUCUUUGUACAACAUUAGUUAAACAUUGCCUGAUUUGAAGGAUUUUUGUAUUAUGAAUUAUCAAUCUUUUCAAAUUAUUUAUACAAGUUUGCAAAGAUCGUCAUAUUUAUGAAAUAUUAUCUUUUAUUAAACAUGCACUCAAUAGUCUGUCCUCUUUUCAUCUCUGGGUUUCAUUUGUGCGUCUUUGUUCUACUGGUAAGUGUAAGUAUAAUACUAGGACCCUUCAAUCUUUCGACGUUUAAGUUUUCUCUUCGCCUUCUGACAAAAGAUGUUUUUAACAUGACAUUAUGUUCCAAAAUAUACCCUCGUACCGAUUUUGUUUAGUUGAGCCAAUUGCUGCUAAUGUUAUCAGUUUAUUCUUAUAUUGUGUGUGUAUACCAUUGUACCACAUUAGGCGAGGGUUUAACUCUCAUAGAUUUUUUAAACAAAGCCACAUUCUUUAUGUGCCUAUCUAAAUUUUGGAGUCUGUAGUUUAGUGGUUGUCGUUGUUUGUUGUCUGUCAAAUUUGUUUUUCAUUAAUUGUUUUUUAUAAAUUAGGUCAUUGGUUUAUCUCGUUUGAACUGUUUCACAUUAUUCAUGUCUGGUCCUUUUAUAGCUGACCAUACGGAUGUUUGUCUAUUAUUGCUUACGUUCACUUCAUUUAAAGUAUGAUGAAUAAUUGUAUCAUUGGCAAUCAUACCACUAUCCUCAUUUGUGUUUAUCAAAAGUCAAUUCUAAACCACAAUCAUACAUGUUUAUAUAUUAUUU